This 515-nucleotide ribosomal RNA is filed under the name uncultured bacterium. Its description in RNAcentral is "partial 16S ribosomal RNA". It matches the Rfam family "Bacterial small subunit ribosomal RNA", at positions 28 to 523 of the family's 1533-position model. The record is from RNAcentral.
GAUGAACGCUGGCGGCGUGCCUAAUACAUGCAAGUCGAGCGAAUGGAUUAAGAGCUUGCUCUUAUGAAGUUAGCGGCGGACGGGUGAGUAACACGUGGGUAACCUGCCCAUAAGACUAGGAUAACUCCGGGAAACCGGGGCUAAUACCGGAUAACAUUUUGAACCGCAUGGUUCGAAAUUGAAAGGCGGCUUCGGCUGUCACUUAUGGAUGGACCCGCGUCGCAUUAGCUAGUGGGUGAGGUAACGGCUCACCAAGGCAACGAUGCGUAGUCGACCUGAGAGGGUGAUCGGCCACACUGGGACUGAGACACGGCCCAGACUCCUACGGGAGGCAGCAGUAGGGAAUCUUCCGCAAUGGACGAAAGUCUGACGGAGCAACGCCGCGUGAGUGAUGAAGGCUUUCGGGUCGUAAAACUCUGUUGUUAGGGAAGAACAAGUGCUAGUUGAAUAAGCUGGCACCUUGACGGUACCUAACCAGAAAGCCACGGCUAACUACGUGCCAGCCGCCGCCGUAA